GCUGGGAUCACACGGUUAUCUGCCCCACAGAAUCACGGGGAUUGCAAAGGUUUCAUUCCCCUUCCUUCCAGUUGCAUUUUCAGCAGCUUUGCAAAAGUACAAGUCUAAUUUAUAGUAAGCAAUCUUAGCAGAUAUUUUACUGUAAAUACUACGCCUCCAUCGGAAAUCCAUACGCACGCUGCUUAUGGCGUUUCGCAUAAUCGGUCCCUGCAUCCAACUCGGGGGCAGCUUCAGCAGCUUCAAAGUGCCUGCGCAGCUCAGCCGCUUCCCUCCCUCCCCCACCCCCUUUUUUGGGUGGAGGGGAAAUAUUUAGGAUCCUAUUUUUUUCAAUGAAGUUCAUCAGUCGGUGGGUAGACAGACAACGCCCAGCAGGAUAACGGAGCCGAGAUGGGAAACAAUGAGGAUCCCUUGUGUGAUGCAUCCGAUUCUUCUUCCGUUUUUUUGGAAGGAAAUACUUGAUGCUUGAAUACAGCUGAGGUAGAUAGUAGAGGAUGAAAGAGCUGCUGCAUUCUACCUGCAAAAUAAGGUGGUUCUGGACAGACCGUCACGAG
This is a long non-coding RNA of Brienomyrus brachyistius, 551 nucleotides long. RefSeq lists it as uncharacterized. The record is from RefSeq and is a predicted model, not a curated record. The transcript has 3 exons. Lineage: Eukaryota; Metazoa; Chordata; Actinopteri; Osteoglossiformes; Mormyridae.